GAUCCACUCGUUUCCCUGGGGCCACUCCUGAUCCACUCCUGGAUCCACCUGGGUCCGUUCCACCAAAGUCCACACUCACACAGGUCCACGUUCACACACACAGGUCCACACUCACACACACAGGUUGUUCACACACACAGGUCCACACUCACACACACAGGUUGUUGUUCACACACACAAGAUCCACACUCACACACACAGGUUGUUGUUCACACACACAGGUCCGGCAUCUCGCUGAAUUUAAUUAAGGAUCAGCCUGAAAUGAAAUGGCUCCAGCAGGGAAGCGGAUGCCUCUGAGACAUUCUGAGGACAGGAGGCAAGAGACCUUGGUGUUAUUUGGUACUGUUGGUCCUGAUAGUCAGGAUCAAGCAGAAGAAUAUGAAUGAAUGAAGCCUGAGGAAAAAUUAGUCUAGCAAGGGGAGCCCGAUUUCUGUGCUGAAACAUAUGGCCACCUACAACCAGCAAAGAUACUGGACUUCUUUUUACAUACAGCGGUGCCCAGACCAAGCGUCAGGCCUCAGUGAGCUGCAUGUGAACGUUUUGUUGCUUACCAAGUUUUCUGGAACCCUGACAUCCCCUACAAAUAAAAUCAACAUUGUGAACGGUCUCAUUUUAGACAUGAAAGGAAAGGACCUAAAGUCUGGCUGGUGUCUGAGGUGGUGGCUGUGGAAAGUUCCAGAGUGGUACCAAGGAAAUCUGGUUCAGCUGCAUCUGCGUGAGGAAGACACUGUCCGAAACUCGCCUGGACAAGUCCAGUUUCAUUCUUUGCAGCACGACUAGCUCCUGUGCGCUGCGGAAGACUCGGGCUGAUCUGAAAGCGCCUCUCCUAUUCUGGACUCUCAGGUUUUAAGUACGUCUUCCGCACCUGCAGAUGUAAAACACACGUUGCUAUUAUUUUCCUCGAUUACGUUGACAUUGCCUGAAAAUGAAUACAAAACAUUGCCUUGCAAAGAUUUUGUACCUUUUUUUUUUCUUUCUUUCUUUCUUUUUGUGAUUGUGCUGGGAAACAAAUGUAUGCUUUUUAUAUUUUUGAGAAAAAUCUAGAGUGGCCACAUGUUCACAGCACGCAUUCCCACACUUCUUGUCCAC
Molecule: long non-coding RNA, 1089 nt
Filed under: Papio anubis (olive baboon)
Lineage: Eukaryota; Metazoa; Chordata; Mammalia; Primates; Cercopithecidae
Description: lncRNA (ENSPANG00000041005.1)
Source: RNAcentral